This 1228-nucleotide ribosomal RNA is filed under the name Escherichia coli. RNAcentral describes it as "partial 23S ribosomal RNA". It matches the Rfam family "Bacterial large subunit ribosomal RNA", at positions 1 to 1259 of the family's 2925-position model. Lineage: Bacteria; Pseudomonadati; Pseudomonadota; Gammaproteobacteria; Enterobacterales; Enterobacteriaceae. The record is from RNAcentral.
GGGUUGUGAGGUUAAGCGACUAAGCGUACACGGUGGAUGCCCUGGCAGUCAGAGGCGAUGAAGGACGUGCUAAUCUGCGAUAAGCGUCGGUAAGGUGAUAUGAACCGUUAUAACCGGCGAUUUCCGAAUGGGGAAACCCAGUGUGUUUCGACACACUAUCAUUAACUGAAUCCAUAGGUUAAUGAGGCGAACCGGGGGAACUGAAACAUCUAAGUACCCCGAGGAAAAGAAAUCAACCGAGAUUCCCCCAGUAGCGGCGAGCGAACGGGGAGGAGCCCAGAGCCUGAAUCAGUGUGUGUGUUAGUGGAAGCGUCUGGAAAGGCGCGCGAUACAGGGUGACAGCCCCGUACACAAAAAUGCACAUGCUGUGAGCUCGAUGAGUAGGGCGGGACACGUGGUAUCCUGUCUGAAUAUGGGGGGACCAUCCUCCAAGGCUAAAUACUCCUGACUGACCGAUAGUGAACCAGUACCGUGAGGGAAAGGCGAAAAGAACCCCGGCGAGGGGAGUGAAAAAGAACCUGAAACCGUGUACGUACAAGCAGUGGGAGCAUGCUUAGGCGUGUGACUGCGUACCUUUUGUAUAAUGGGUCAGCGACUUAUAUUCUGUAGCAAGGUUAACCGAAUAGGGGAGCCGAAGGGAAACCGAGUCUUAACUGGGCGUUAAGUUGCAGGGUAUAGACCCGAAACCCGGUGAUCUAGCCAUGGGCAGGUUGAAAGUUGGGUAACACUAACUGGAGGACCGAACCGACUAAUGUUGAAAAAUUAGCGGAUGACUUGUGGCUGGGGGUGAAAGGCCAAUCAAACCGGGAGAUAGCUGGUUCUCCCCGAAAGCUAUUUAGGUAGCGCCUCGUGAACUCAUCUCCGGGGGUAGAGCACUGUUUCGGCAAGGGGGUCAUCCCGACUUACCAACCCGAUGCAAACUGCGAAUACCGGAGAAUGUUAUCACGGGAGACACACGGCGGGUGCUAACGUCCGUCGUGAAGAGGGAAACAACCCAGACCGCCAGCUAAGGUCCCAAAGUCAUGGUUAAGUGGGAAACGAUGUGGGAAGGCCCAGACAGCCAGGAUGUUGGCUUAGAAGCAGCCAUCAUUUAAAGAAAGCGUAAUAGCUCACUGGUCGAGUCGGCCUGCGCGGAAGAUGUAACGGGGCUAAACCAUGCACCGAAGCUGCGGCAGCGACGCUUAUGCGUUGUUGGGUAGGGGAGCGUUCUGUAAGCCUGUGAAGGUGU